Long non-coding RNA from Capsicum annuum, 1009 nucleotides. RefSeq lists it as uncharacterized. The transcript has 5 exons. The record is from RefSeq and is a predicted model, not a curated record. NCBI's taxonomy places the organism in Eukaryota, Viridiplantae, Streptophyta, Magnoliopsida, Solanales, Solanaceae.
UUUCUCAAUAGAAAAUAUUGAAAACCCCUCUUUAUUUCUCAUAAAGAACGUAGCCCAAUACCUAUUUCUCAGAUAAAUCCAAAAUCCAUUUCUCAAAUAAAUAAUAAAUUGAAAACCCAUUUAUGAGGUAAAUCAAAAAUUUAUUUCUCAGACAAACUCUUUUUGAAGCGCUUUACUAGAAUUGGUUUCCCAAGCGUUUGUGAAGAAAGCGCUGAAGUUACUCAAGGGGGAAAAUUGAUUAGCCGUGACAGAGAGAAAGGAUUCAGAUAAACUAAAUUUUGGGGGUGAAUUUGUAGCUCCAAUUGACUGGGGAAUUUCGACGGUGUAAUAGAGUAGCACCAAAUCGGUUUAAUAUUGCUUGAAUUAGGGGUUUUUAGGAAAAUUUUGGAGGUUUGAAUACCUGUUUUAGGACAGAAAAAUUAUUUCCAGGGCCUCAUUUAUCUGUAGGGGCAGGUACCAAACUGAAGAUGAGGAAUCCAUUCUGAAGUUUAUUUGGUUGAAAAGUGCUUGACAUUUUGUUCAAGAUGCCUACAUGAUGGUGUGAAGACAUGAUUUAGUAUGUACCAAACUGAAGAUGAGGAAUCCAUUCUAAAUUUGUCCCCUAUAUGCCGUAAGAAUGGUCAUCCAAUUGGAAGUGAGAAGAAAGAGGACUACACUUUUUUGAUGGAUUCAAAGUUACAUUAUGAAGUACAUCGACAUACCUUUUUUAGCACGGGAGAUGAAGAAGUGGAAAAGUUCAUCAGUAUAAAGUUGUUGAGGAUUACUGAGGAUUGCUAAUGUCUAAGAGCUGGUUCAAUUUGUGAGGUUAUGAUUCAAUAUUGCUUGGAUUUGGGGUUUUUGAGGCAAUAUUUGGAGGUUUGAAUACUUUGUUUAGGACAGGGAAAUUAUUUUCAUGGCGUCAUUUAUUUGCAAGGGAGUGUAAUUUUCAUAUAUCCUAUCAAUCUGACCAAAUUGUUGAUUAAAAAGAAAAUAGAACAACAUUAUCAAAGUAGAUAUAUUCUAUUCUACA